AACAAGGAUUUGUUGAACGGUGAAAACAAAUGACUGGUUAAUCUGACGGUUGAAAUUGGUUUGAUCUGAUCAGAAGAUGGAAAAGCCCAUUUUUACGCUGCUCUCUUCUUUUUUAGUACUCCGUAAAUUUGCAGUUUUAUUGUUUUCGUAUGUCCAAAA
Molecule: long non-coding RNA, 159 nt
Organism: Hibiscus syriacus
Lineage: Eukaryota; Viridiplantae; Streptophyta; Magnoliopsida; Malvales; Malvaceae
Exons: 5
Source: RefSeq, a predicted model, not a curated record